Molecule: ribosomal RNA, 502 nt
Filed under: uncultured bacterium
Lineage: Bacteria
Description: partial 16S ribosomal RNA
Rfam family: Bacterial small subunit ribosomal RNA
Source: RNAcentral
AUUGAACGCUGGCGGCAUGCCUUACACAUGCAAGUCGAACGGCAGCACGGGAGCUUGCUCCUGGUGGCGAGUGGCGAACGGGUGAGUAAUACAUCGGAACGUACCCAGGAGUGGGGGAUAACGUAGCGAAAGUUACGCUAAUACCGCAUAUUCUGUGAGCAGGAAAGCGGGGGAUCGCAAGACCUCGCGCUCUUGGAGCGGCCGAUGUCGGAUUAGCUAGUUGGUGAGGUAAAAGCUCACCAGGGCGACGAUCCGUAGCAGGUCUGAGAGGAUGAUCUGCCACACUGGGACUGAGCCACGGCCCAGACUCCUACGGGAGGCAGCAGUGGGGAAUUUUGGACAAUGGGGGCAACCCUGAUCCAGCCAUGCCGCGUGAGUGAAGAAGGCCUUCGGGUUGUAAAGCUCUUUCGGCGGGGAAGAAAUGGCAACGGCUAAUAUCCGUUGUUGAUGACGGUACCCGCAUAAGAAGCACCGGCUAACUACGUGCCAGCCGCCGCGGUAA